Molecule: unclassified non-coding RNA, 770 nt
Filed under: Hevea brasiliensis (rubber tree)
Lineage: Eukaryota; Viridiplantae; Streptophyta; Magnoliopsida; Malpighiales; Euphorbiaceae
Source: RNAcentral
GUAGUUGCAGGGACACUUGAGUUAAUAAUUCUAUAAAAUUUUUACUAUUGGGUCCACUCAAGGAUGUUUUCCCGUUAAAGAUUGAUUGUUGUCUUUUGAUAUUGCCAUUGAGAUUUUAAGUGUUGAGAGCCUCCUAAAAGAAACAGUGCUUUGAUUUCCAUACGAGCUAUAGAUGCAGAAUUACUAUUGUUUUUCAGAAAUUCAUCCCAUUUAUAUAGUUCAUUAGAGCUUGUUUAUUUGCUUACAUCGAUUUCAUUCAUUCAUCUGUUGUGUCAAGAAAAUGAUCGGAUAGAAUUAUAUUUUUGUUACAUAUUUUGAUUUUUGUUAUUUACUAGAAAAUGUAAGAGUUCUUAUGAUAGUUAGCUAGAGUUCUCCGUAAAUAUCCCUCUUAAAAUGAGCAUUUCAAGGAUGCUUAUUGAACCUUCUUUACUUGCACAACUUGUGCAGCAUUUUCUUUAUUUGCUUUUGUAUUUGGCUAUAAUUCGAAGUUGGAUAAGUUUCUUUUGUCAGUACAUCAACCUGCGCCAACUGCUGAUUAGAUUUUCCUCUUGCUAUACCGUCAUCUUUAGUAUGAAAGUUGUUGCUCCUUAUUGUCAUAUUUGAUAAUUACGCCGUAUAUGGUUAGGCCUUCUUGAAUGACUUUGCAAUGUACUUAUGUUACAUAAUUCUUUCAUCAAUGACUUUGCAAUGUACUUAUGUUACAUAAUUCUUUCAUCAAUGACUUUGCUUAAUUUGCUCAAAUUUGCAGAACUACUCUUCAAUCAUUACUG